This 67-nucleotide microRNA precursor is filed under the name Agrilus planipennis (emerald ash borer). RNAcentral describes it as "mir-33 microRNA precursor family". It matches the Rfam family "mir-33 microRNA precursor family". The record is from Rfam by way of RNAcentral. Lineage: Eukaryota; Metazoa; Arthropoda; Insecta; Coleoptera; Buprestidae.
UCCGGGUGCAUUGUAGUUGCAUUGCAUGUCAGGUUAUUCAGUGCAGUGUUUCUGCAGUGCAGCUUGA